RNAcentral lists this unclassified non-coding RNA (240 nucleotides) under soil metagenome. RNAcentral's name for it is "partial contains 5.8S ribosomal RNA, internal transcribed spacer 2, and large subunit ribosomal RNA". The record is from RNAcentral.
AAGACUAUAGACCUGCGGAGUACCUGCGGAGGGAUCAUUAACGUAUCUAUGAUGGGGUGCGGAGCGCCCUGCUCCGGUCGAACGGCCGUGCAGCGGGUGCGCCGCCCCCGUCCCACCUCACAAACCCACUGUGAACAUUCACCGGUGGAGGGGGCUCGGUCUGCGCCGUGUCCCCGAUGCCGAAUACCCAACCUCCAGUUGCAAAGAACGUCGUGCGGACUCGGUGCCGCCUAAAACAUG